RNAcentral lists this long non-coding RNA (11759 nucleotides) under Daucus carota (carrot). Its description in RNAcentral is "long non-coding RNA (DCAR_LNC003376)". Lineage: Eukaryota; Viridiplantae; Streptophyta; Magnoliopsida; Apiales; Apiaceae. The record is from RNAcentral.
GACUUAUAAUUUUGAAUAAAAUUUCUCUAAUCCAUUACUUAGUUUUUGCAUUUGUAAUUCGACUUGAUACAAAAUUAAUAGCCUGAGUAUCUAAAUUUCUAGUAACAUACCCCAAAACAAACAAUUAACUUACAAUCUUACGCAUAUACACAUCACAGAAUUUGACUGAAUUGAUAUUGAUACCGUUAACAAAGAGAGAGACGGGAAUUAAAACAGGUAUAAUUGAUAUUGGAGAGAGGGAGAGAGAGAGAUAUAUAUAUAGUUAGAGAGAGAGAAAGAGAGACCUGUAAGUAACGUCUCUGUGAGAAGAAGCGAAGCUAUGAGUGUGGUGAUAGUCGUUCCUUUCCAUGGCAGCGGAGAUUUGGAUCGGAAGGAGCUGGGCAGUGGUCACGUUCUGGUUCGUGAGACAAGGGGACUAUCACAUACAUAAAGUCGUAUGCUACUGCUUGUUUGUGUCUUUUCUUUUUUUUUUCCAGGUUGCUUGUGUCCGGCACGAACAUUGUUGUAAAAAUCGAGAAUCGGAGUUAGUCGGUGAAGUAUCAUCUAGCGAUUAAUAAGAUAAUCAUGGAUUAAUCGGAGUAAUUAAUCAGACCAUUAAUCGUAAUCAAUUUAAUAUUAUAUUUUAAAUAAUAUAUAUUAAUAUACUUAUAUACUAUAAAUUUAUGGUCUUAUAAAAUUAAAAGAUUAAUGAUUUCUUAUAACAUAAAACAUGCCUAUAUAUACAUAUACAAGUCUUGUCAUCUUAUAGAUAAACAUGAAUUUGAUCGAAUUUGCGAAAGAAGAUAUUACAGAUUUUUGUAAUUAGAGUUCAAGGGGUAAUUAAAAGAGUGAAAGGUAAUAAAAAUAACUUUAAAUUCCGUGAUUUGUCAUUUCCGUGCCUUUUGUUUUAUUUGAAAUUAAAUUUUUAAUUUUUAAAAAAAAUUACUUUGCGUUUUUCAAAAUUUUAAAUUCACCGAUUUAUGGUCGACUUUUACUAAUUAAUCCCGUCUUUGACCGAUUUUCUGAAAAAAUGAUAUUUUUCACCGAUUAACGCUUAAUCGAGAUGGUGGCCGACCGAACAGUGAUUCAUUACCGAUUAAUCGUCGACUUUUAGAACACAGGGCACGGGCUAUAAAGCAUUGCAAAUCUUUUCAUGUUGUCAAUAACUUCUAAUUUAAUAAAAAUAAAAAUUAUAGCUGAUCUUUUCAUGUUGUCAAUAACUUCUAAUUUAAUAAAAAUAAAAAUUAUAGCUGAUGUUGUAAAUAACUUCCAAUUUAGUAAAAUUAAAAAUUAUAGCUGUAUAUUUAUAUAUUAUUUAUAAUUAGUUACAAUUAAUUUAUGUACGCCGCUUUCUUCGAUGCCGAUAAUGAAUCAAUGUGCAUGCUCCCCUCGAAUGACUUUAGCAUGGCCAAUUUAGGUGUUCGAAUUUGGCCGCUUGUAUUCAAUAUUUCAUGAGCAAACACUAUCCCAGGCAGCUGUGUCAAUGUAAUCUGGCUAUAAAUUUCAAAAAAUUCUAAAACAAAGAUAUGCAGAUAUAAGUGAUCGAGCAUACAUAAAUAACAAAGCUGAUAUCAUAUAUGAAUAAUGAUAUUUUAGAUGUCAUUAUCUCAUCUUUAUCCUAAGAAGCUCAAAUACACAAGAAAUAAGACCUUGAAUUGAAGGGCAAUUACUAAAUGGAAGCCAUGAAUAGAAAAUGCACAGUAGACAUACAAGAUAAAUCAAAUGUUCAUAAACACACAAAAUACUAAAUGAAGACGAACUUGUCUACAGAACAGAAAAGUCAUAAUCACUUACUCUGCUUUGGACAUUUUUUGUUCACGUUUGGCUUGGAUCAGGGCCUAGGCUCACUUUUCAUCUAUCGCAAAAUCAAAUUAGUUGUGAUGCAGCAAAACAUGGAUAACAAUAUACAGAGAGCAUCCCCUCUUUCCGGACAAAAAAUGUGUUGUAAACUGCAAACAACAUCUUGCAGAAAAACCUUGUAAUAACAUCAAUGUAUCGACUCUAAUAUCACCAACUUCUAACCCAUGCUUGUUAACAUCAAGCAAACAAACGGAUCAUGAUACUCGACAGUCUCAACUUAUGGUUCCCUUGGAAGUAACGGGCCUUCUAAAGAACUCCCCACUUCCAUCAGGCUCCAGGAUUUCAUGGUUGACAUGUUGCUGUCCUUAGUCAAUGUCUGAACAAAAACACGUUGGUUUCCCACCAUUUGAUUUUCUUCUGCUCUGGGGCAACAGUUGUUGAGCAAAAGAUCUUAUCACCGUACAUAACUCUCAAUGUGUAAUCAAUCAUCAUUAACAAUUAAAAAGGUAACAGUGUCCACAAGGUUGAGAUUACUUACCAGUAGCUUUUCAUUGCUUUAUUGAAAUUGCUUCUCUAUUUGGCGAGAAAGGACAAAACCUCUUUGCCUUUUCGCUCCCUUGAGGUUUGAUGAACUCUUUUCCUGUAACUGUCAAGGAGACUUUAAAUUGCAAACCAUUGAAUAGGGAAUGAAUUAGCUGAAGAGUAAGAGAAGUCUGACCAGUACCUUGAACUUCAAUCAUGGUACUUUUACCUUUGUCUAAAGAAGGCCUUUUCUCUGCUUCUUGAAGAGUAUUAGUUGUGCCACUUACUCCAGAUGAUACCUUUUCUUUCACCCUUGUGAGCUCUUGAUUCUGUGAAUGGGUUCUUUUAAGUACACCUUCAUCGUCACUGUCAUCCAAGAUGAUUACCUCAACAGGUGCUUUAUCAGGGUCUCAUGCAAUACUAUCUGUUCCCAAUGGACUUGUGUUAUAGAUUAAGACCUCAAUAACUGCUUUAUCGGUCUCCAACAAUACUCGGCUUGUGUCAGAGAUUAUAGAGCUUUGUUGGAUAAAGGGCGUGAGAAGUCUGACAUUACCUUGAAUUUCAGUCAUGAUAUUUUUACCCUUGUCCAAAAAGAAGGCCUUUUCUCUAUUUCUUGCAGAAUAUAAGUUGAGGCACUCCCUCUAUAUGAUGAUCACAACUGGCUCUUUAUCAGGGUUUCCUGCAAUAAUAUCUGCUCCAAAUCAACUUUGUGUUAGAGAUUAACCAUUUUCCCUUUUUGUGGAGUAUGACUUGUGGCACCUCUUCUAGCUGAUGCCCCUUAUCUUCCAUCUUCAUAUGUUUUUACAGUGAAUGGACUUCUUUUAUCUCGCUUUUGUCUUCACUGUCCACCAAGUCAACCACGUCAAUCAGAGCUUUGUCACCCUCUUGUACAAUAGCUUCAGGCCAAAAACUAACAUAAAUUGUAAUUGGACGGAUGUUAAAUUUUGACUACAUUUAAGUGAAAACAGCUAAUGAAUUUAAUUUUCUGCUAUAUUUUGCAGCUAUCUGAAACUACAUUGAAAAGCACAAUACGAACUAUAUAGUUAGCAGACCAUUCUGUAAUGGCUAAAGAAAAACAAAUGCUAGUGUACAAUGCUUAGAUAAUAUAUAUAGGAUAUAAUUACUUCUACCUGCAGUUCUUAGCUCAAAUGAAGAAUCCACUUCCACACUUGAUCUUGGACAGGUUUCCUGCAGUGGAGGAAGAUCAGAAUCCAUUUCUUCCAGUGCCACCGUUGCUAGUAUUUCUAGGUCACAAGUGUAAGGGAUUUCGCUUUUUAUCAUCACUAUCAUCCAUGCUUAUGGCCUCGAUAAGAGAUUUAAUAGCAUCUCCUCCAAGAGAUUCUGUCCAAAAUUAACUUGUGUUUCAGAUAAAUAACAAUUAAGAUAAGACACUGCAGUAGAGUUGUUAGAUGCAAAUAAUAUCAGGAGAAAAUUAACUGAAUAUGGAUAUUGAAAUAUAUAAAACAAGAUAAAACUAAGUUCAUCUACCUCCCGAAGCUCUGACCUCAAGUGAAGACUCUUCUUCCAUUCCAGGAAUACAUAAAUGCAAAGAAGUCGUCUAUUCAGCAGUCAAUAUUUCCUCAGCAGCAGUACUGGUAGAAGGGACAACUUCACGAACACAAUUUGUGCAGCGCCACCACCUGAAUUGAGGAACAUCAAGUGAUCCUCGCAGCCACUCCCAUGUAUUUUCACUAAUACCAUUUUAGGGGAUUCAGCCCUGCGAUUUUCUCUUCCUUAUUUCAGCCACAUAUCCACUGAACACACAUUAGAUAAAUUUGUCAAGAAGAUACUAUUAUGCCUUUAAAUAAUAUUUGAAACUGUUCGAUAACCAACUCUCUCAAUAAGCCUUAAUUGGUUCUAAUGGUGAUGCUGCUGGUGUAGCUGCAGCUUUUCAGGCUCCACUUGGUGGGCUGCUAUUUGUUCUUAAAGAAGCAGCUUCAUGGUACUUUAUUGUUUCCUUUUAUCCAUGUUCAUGUAUAUGCAACUGAUAUGUUCCUUGUGCUCACACUUUUAAGAUUUGAUCAGAACUAUCAAACUAAGCUCGGUUAGUUUGUUUGUUCUUAUCAGGCUUGUGGGCUCUGAAUAGUCUCCUUUCUAGAUGCCAUUAUCUGGUUGUUUACCUGUAGUCAGCACAUGUAACCAAUAUAUGUUAAAAGAUUUAAUUUUACAUGAGAAUUAUAUUCACGGAGAGAUGUAUUUAUCUAAAUGGUACAUCAGAAGGAACCUCUUAGAGCAGAAAUAUUUCUUAAAAAUCUGUGGAAGGACUAAGGAGUGUCCAGUGCAAUGUAUAAAACUUUGCAAUGUAGAAAGAAAAACUACCUCUUUCUACCAUUUUACAACACCUAACACUUAUUUCGAGCAAGUCUUCUCAUUAUCAUAACAAGUUCACAGUUAAAACACCAUAAACAGUGCAUUUUUUUUUAUCUAAUUCUGCAAUAUUUUCUAUCCAAUUUUAUAACAAAAAACUUGUAUAUAGAGCACCUCGCACGUGAUAUAAAGCUAGUUGGAUUGAGAUUACUACAUGCUGUUUGGUUUAUAUUAGAAUGGGAAUCGGAAUACUUUUUUAAAAAUUUUAAAAUUUUCUUAUAAGCUUUUAAUAAUAAAAAAAUAGCCAUUUUUUACUUUUUAUUUUAAUUUUUACAUGGAUAAUUUAAAAAAUUCAUAAUUUGAAAUAUUAUAAAUUAUAAUACAAAAUUCAUUUACUUUUCACUAUCAAUUUAUUCUUCAUUUCUUUUAUUAUUUACUUAGAUUUUCCAAAAACCGUAAAGUCUUACUAAAAAUAUGAAAAAUAAUCAAAACAAUGAGUACAAAAAAACGAAAAAUCCUGCGAGCACAUGCUUUAAUUAUCCAAUAUUACCACAACACAUAAAAAAAAAAAAUCUAGUUAUUGCAUAACUAUAAAACAAAUCAUAAUAACCUCAUGCAACUAAAUAAAGUAUAUUCUCAACUUUUUUUACAAAAUAAAAGUUUUGAGUCAGUUUCAAACAACAAUGUUACAUCAACUUUAAGUAGUAUUUAAUUUUUUAAGAACAUGAAUCUUCCUUCUCAAAAGGAGCAAGAGCAGCUCCGACAGAAACUACCCAUUAUGACCACCUGCAAUGAAGAUGAUCUUCGAAAUAUUAGUCAGCAAUAAAAUGGAGCAUACCAAAGUUGCAACUAGUGCACAUUUUAAAUGCCUUAAGGGGCAAACAGCGAUAUAGCAAGUUCAACAGAACUUAAAUUUUUACAAGUCUGAAGAACUAUAAAGAUUCCUAAAAGGGAGAAUUAAGGCAGUCUGAAGAGAAUUGCAGGUUGAUCUACUCGUAAACAUUCUAUUGUACAAGCACCAAGAGUCCAAGACUUGUCUAGAUUGUUUAUUUAUAGACUAAAAACACAAACCUCUAUAAUAAGUGUAGAUAGUUUAUUUCCUCCUAACUCCUUACACAAGUUUUAAGAUAAGGAAGUAAGAAGAAGGCCAAUCAAGUAAAGAACACAACAGUACAUUUCUUCAACAUUUGUAGUGCCAAACAUGAUCCAUUGGCCUUAUAGAACGAAAAGAGUCUAUUUCUGAUCGUAGGAACUACAAAAAAAUAUUACCCAUAAUCCAUGUUCAUAAGAGGGACUUCAGAACCAUUGGUACAUGGUAAUUUACUGUUAACUAUCCAUUGGCUACAACUCUCUAAACUUGAUGCCAACUUAUCCGAGUAAUAUAAAAAAAAACAACCUAAUUGUUGAAACUUAAGAGAAGAGAAAUUGAAACUAAAAGGAUAGCAGCUCUCAUCGGUAACAAAAUAAAAGAUGUACCAAAACAACAUUAUCGAAAGAUGUACCAAAAAUGAUAUGAUAACAUAUGUAAGCAAAAGAAAAGACCAAAACUGUAUUCAAUAAAAGCUAAGACACCACCAUACAACAUUCUCAAUCCAAAAGACAAACAGAACACCGCAAGAAAACUGUAAAACUUACCAAGUUGCUUAAGGUCACGAAGCCUGCAGUCCAAACAUGACAUACAAAUCCAUUAACUUAUAUAAACAGGAAUAAGCAGCAUUCCAGAAACAAAACUUAGAAUUGUGCAUACAUAUUACUAGAUGAAUCAGCUCUAAGACUUAAGACAGGGGAGGGAUAAUUAAUCACCAGCUGAAAACAGAAGAACACAGGGAAGCAUUAACAACAACUUUGUCGAUCUCUGCAAGUGAAUCUGCAAAACCCAGAAUUCCAGAAACACUACUAUAAGAAAUCAAACCACAUAUAUUUUUAAAAAAACAAACCAAAUAAGGUAUCCCAGAUAAAGAAACCACAAUACGAAUUGGAUGAAAAAGAUCAAAACUUUGAAUUCUGCUCAGUUGGGCAUUAAAUCAAACACGUUAUUAUUAAAACCUUUUGAUGCAUAAUUGGCAUAACUGUAUUAUGGCAUAACUUUUUUUAGUGAGCAAAAAUACACAAAUGCAUAUAGUGAGAAUUAUGGAAUAACAGAGGUAAUCAAGUAACACAGAAGAGAAUCCUUAUGCAAUCUUACAGUAUCCGAGUGUAAGUCCACUUGUAAUGCUCCAAAGCAAUAAACAUACAAUUCGGUAGAACACAAUUUAACGACCCUGGAGAAAGAUAGAUUUGGAAAAGAAAAUUUGUUGACUCUAUCUGAUCACCAAUCUGUCUUAAGACCUUCACUUGUUCCCUAGAUUAUAUGCAAAAGCUAUUUAGACAUUACUGCGGUCCAGACAUCCACAAAUAUAUUAAUCACGGUUUUUUAGUUUAGUAGACUUCUUGACAGAACACAUAAAACCAUCAUGUGAGGUAGGGCAAAAAAGAAAGAAAACGUAAGACUGGAUUUGAACCCAUGUCUGUGGACUGUGGGUCGCAACUUGCAAGAUUUUAAAAAAGCAGAAAUUAGACUAAUUAAGCAAAUUUAUAUUGUGCACAUACUUUACAUAGAAAAUAUAAACUUUUCAUACUACUCCAAAGGUAUCCUCAUUACCCUACAGCAAUGCCCCUGAUUAGAACCAUGAAUAUGAAGCAGGACCCAAGAACAAAACUGAAAAGCAGAUGUAUAUCUUGAUUGGCUUAUUAAAAUCCAAGGUCACUUAAAUCAGAGAGCAAAUAACUGUGUUCAUUCAUGGAUUAAUUCAAAUUAUAUUAUAAAAAUUAAAAGCGGCCUCAGUAACAAUUGGAAGAACUUUCAGCCCAACAUAAAAUUAUAAACAAAGAGAGAACAUAUGACCUAUUUUCUGAAUACAUAAGGGAUCAAAUGUCCAAAACAGGGCCCUGCUCCUGAUUUUCGAUAUUCAUAUUUUGCUAAGGAAUUCAUGCAGUCCAAAAUAUAUAGAUAGUCAACUGACUUGCCGAUAAACAUAUAAGCUAUCCGACACAAGUAGUUUUAUCUGUCAUCUUCCAAACAAAGUAAAUAUGCUUGAACAUUCUACAAACUAUUUUACUUUCAUACCCUUGCUUGCCAACAAACAUACUGUAUUCUUAACACAAGACACACCAAUGUAAGCUAAAACAUACAUUAAAAUUCUUAACAUAAAGAACACAGCUAAUUAAAACAUUUCAAUCGCACAACCUACUGUUUAUAAAAUAUACCCAUUUUUGAGAAAAACUAAACAACUUUUGUAAUGCACUAAACACAACAUUCAAACCCCAUCGGUUACAGGCAACAUUAACUAAAUAAUUUACUGUAAGGGAGAAUCAUAUUUCUUCUAAAUGAGGCAACCUGGUUAAACACUGGCCUGAUACAACUUACAAGUGUAGAGGUACACAAGUAAAUCUUGGUUUAUACAUGAAAGAUGAAAUAAUUGAUAAAGUAUUAGUUAAUAAACCCAAAAGAGUAACAACAUUAUAAUUAUCAAACUAUCUAAUGUACAGGAAAGUAAAAAAAAUGGUUUAGCUGAUAGCUUGGUAUGCACCUGAAUAUUUAUUGCUGCUUUAGUUUACCCAUCAAAUAUAAGUAGUUCCUCUGAAAGUCUAUAACUGCCCAAACCAAGUGCCAAAACUGAAUCUCGGGCCAAAGCACUAAGGGAGAGUACAAAAGAGUAGAUGAACUCUGCCACAAGAGAAAAUUGCUUAACCGAGUCUCUCCCGAAGUACGAACUAUGAUGUCAGGAUCAGGUGUAACAUACAUAUGUUUCUCAAUAUCUUUUGAAUUAAUAAAACACUCUUUAUGUUCCUUGUCGUUACUGUUUGGUCCUAACAAGCCAUAUGGACCAGAACCAGUCGCUUCCAAUGCACUUAAUUCUUCCUUUUUUUCUUCACAGGAUUCUUGAACGGAAUGCAAUAUCUCAUCGGUUGAAGUGUAUGCGACACAAAUUGUUAGAACUGCUUUAGAAUUGUCAGCCGUAGCAACCAUAGCCCUCUCAGCGGCCAACCUAACAGGUCUGCUCAGAAGUUGAAGAUUUCCUACAAACCGAACCUUAACCCCAUAUUGGUUUACCAAGCUCUCUUGUUUAGUAAGCCCUUCAAUUUUCUCCAGCAUGAGAUCCAUAACCGACUGAACUUCUUCCGGCCUUCUAUUAAAGUUAUCGAUGCUGAAGGCAAAGAUAGUUACAUACUUGACACGAAACUCAUAACAAUAUCUGAGCAUUGACAUAAGAGCAGAGAAACCAACCCUAUGGCCGGCUCCUUCCAUCAAUUUAUUUUUUUUAGAAAACCUUCGAUUCCCGUCCAUAAUGAACGCAAUGUGACUCGGAAUAGGACCUCUAGAAAGAACCAUAAAGAUGCAUUUCCUCAAAAAAGCUACAAAAUAAGUAAACCAUGUUGUCUGACUACUACUACUACUCUGACUUUCCAUCCUAAUUAACUUGUACAAGCUCAAACACUCCUGUACAUGAAACAAUAAGAGCUUCAGGAUAAAGAAAUGCAAGAAAAUAGCUGCGAGUGGUGAUUUGAAAGCCAAUUACUAAUCACAAUUUAAAUACAAACUACCCCUAAUUCUCGAUUAUAAUUUUAGAUUAGUUUCUAGUAUAGGCUUUCAAAGCCUGGCUUUGUUUAUUUCAGUCAUACCUCAUUCUACAUACUAGAGAAUCAAACAACCCAUUUGAAUUUGAUAUUAAAUUUGUUAUAGUAUCUUCUUUUUUUCAAGAGAAUUGAAUUCCACUCUUUAAAGUAAUAAAUAAAUAUUUAUUGAUUAAUUAAUAUAUUUCUAAAUUAUAAAAAACUGGCUAUUAAUUUACAGAGGUCUGUAUAUUUUACUAGCAAAACUAUCUACACUUAUUUGUGUGCUAUUGGAUAUAUUUUCAUCACUCAAUUAGAAAGAGGUAAGGAUAUUAUUAGAGUCCUUUCCUUGGUUGACAAUUAAUCCUCAUCACAUCUCUAGAAUUCCUGAUUGUCAUUUGUCAUUUCAUUCCGAAAAGUUUUCUAUGGUUCAAUAUUUCUUCCGUGGUUGUUCCUACCCACAGACUAGUCGACAAAAAUAAUAAUAUAUUAUUAUAACCAUAACCAUAACUAUAACUACAUGUGUGUAUUAUGUAAUUAAGGUUUCUAACUUCAUGUUUAAGUUCAAAAACAUUAAAACUGCAGUAGUCACACACAUGUAGUAGUAGGACAUUCAAAUUCUGUAUCAUAUAACGCUAUUAUAUUUUACAAAACAUUGUAACAGAGUAACACAAUUUAUAUAAAGUCAUUCACAUAUAGACACUAGUACAUCAAGAAUCAAUCAGUUUAUACAUGCAUAUAUACAUAACCUAUACGAUUACAGAUACCAUAUAGACGUAUAUAUGAUUAUGCUAAUAUAUAAAUCAGAUAUGAAAAGAAAAGUUACAAAAUCUUCCCGGUGAGUAUUUUGGAGUCGUGAUGUUUAAUCCAUGUGGAGAAGUGAAUGUUGUGGAUUGAUGUGGGCUAUCAAGAGUUUACUGUACAUUUUUUAUAAUCUAUUCAACAUAGGCUUUCGACCAGGAUUUUUAUACCAAUAUUUGACCUGAACACCAGUAUGUGAUCCGAACCGACUAUGUAGUUCGACUAGUCGACUGGGCAGCGGACUAAGUGACACUGCUCAGUCAACUGCGUGCCUGACAAAUACCUAGUAGACAACUUGAGUCAACCUGCAAGUACUGUCGUGACUAGUCGAGCGACAUGAAAACUUUGAUUUCUUGCCUACAUACUUUUGCCUAUUUUAUUCGUCCACUAUUUCUUAUUCACAAAUUUCAUCAACUUUCUCAACAGACUAUUAUUUUUUUCCAAUUUAUGGUUCUUACAAAUCUUAUAAAAACACUUUUCCAUUUCCAUGAGAGUUUACCAUUGAUGUUAAUUAGCUUCACGUUAACUAUUAUAAGAUAACACAAAGAACUAUCAACCUAAGUCCCACCUCCCAAAUUUUAAAUGUCUUUCAUAAAUCCAUAAUUCUGAGCAGCCUGAUCAACUGACAGAGUAUUUUAAAGCGGAAGAAAUAUAUUGCAAAUACGCCGUAUGAAUAACCUAGAACAAUACGGUUAAUGAUUAGCAUACUAUUUAAUUGUAUUACCGUGACAUAUGCUAGCUGGUGAGGGAACAUAUAACCAGUAUCACAAAAAUUCGUAACAGUAAUAUGUAGAAAACCAACCACCUUGCAGAUACAAUUAUUCAAAAAAAAUAUCAACAUAUUUUACAGUUAUAAUUAUAAGGGUGGUCAAUUAAUUAGUCACUUGAAUAUGGUUUUUUAAGAUCUAGGUCGCUUAAUAAUAUAUCCAACAUUCAGGUCAUUUAUGUUGUAAGAUACUUAAUCGAAGUCCUUCUAUUAAUCAAAAUGAAAAAAGAUGUCGAGGGGCAUCUUAUUUGAAAGAAACAAGAUUAUAAUCAUGGCAUAAAAUAAUUACAAAAAAUUAUUUACGCCCCGCCCCGCCCCGCCCCGCCCCGCCCCGCUCUCUCCUUUACCCCUUCCUCAUCUAUCUCUUUCUAUAUAAAUAGAUAACAACUUAUAAGAAUCUUAAUUUCUUCAUUUUUUUAUAGUUUGCUUUUACAGAUAGACCAAAUCAUAUCCCACUCAUCUUCGAAUAUUGUUUUGACACUCGGAUUCCCCCGACUCUGUGGGAAGAUAAAACAUUUAUCCAACCCACAACAAAUUAAUCAUCAUCAUUAUAUAAUCAAUUAUAAAGAUUCAAUAAGAUUGGAUCUUUACAAAUAAAUUAGAGGUCCGUCCCUUCCGGUUUAUAAUAUUCACGAUUAAUAUUUCUUUGAGCUAUAAAGUAACUUUACGCUGGAAAAACUCAAACAUGUUUGUUUGUUUAGGUGACUUAAAGUUAAAAGCUAACUCAUGAUUUUGAAUUAAAUUUAUCUAAUCCAUCACUUAGUUUUUGCGUUUGUAAUUUGAGUUGAUACAAAAUUAAUAUCUAUCCUAGCCUAGGUGGAUGCAUUUGCCUGAGUAUUUAGAUUUCUAGUAGCGCCCCAAAACAAACAUUUAACAUACAAUCUUACGCAUAUAGACAUAUACACAUCAUAGAAUUUGACUAAAUUGAUAUUGAUACCGUUAACAAAGGAAGAGAGACGGGAAUUUUAAACAAGUAUAAUUGAUAUUGGAG